GGGAGGGGGAAUUGGGGGACGUCUGCAGAUGAUACACUGGCACAGGAAACUGAUGUCAGUGUUAAAGUUGAUGAUAAGAUUGGAAUGCCGGAGAAGCAUGCUGAACAGGGAGAUGCUCCGACAGCGGAGGUCAAGGAGGGGCAAGCCAAGGAGGUAGAGGAGAAAGAAGAGGACAAGGAGAUGACUUUGGAAGAGUAUGAGAAAGUAAGGGAGGAGAAGCGAAAAGCACUACUUGAGAUGAAGACUAAAGAGAGGAAGGUGGAUUUUGACAAGGACUUUGAAUCAAUGCAACAACUGUCACUGAAGAAAGCAAAUGCUGAUGAAGUUUUUAUCAAAUUGGGUUCUGACAAGGAUGGUAAAAAGAAGGAAAAUGCUGAUCGUGAUGAAAGAGCUAAAAAGGUGAGCAUCCAGCAGUUUCUGAAGCCUUCUGAUGGGGAGAGAUAUUACAGCCCUGGUGGCCGUGGCCGUGGCAGGGGACGGGGUGGUGAUCGUGCACCAUUCAGAG
Molecule: unclassified non-coding RNA, 505 nt
Filed under: Hevea brasiliensis (rubber tree)
Lineage: Eukaryota; Viridiplantae; Streptophyta; Magnoliopsida; Malpighiales; Euphorbiaceae
Source: RNAcentral